RNAcentral lists this ribosomal RNA (301 nucleotides) under uncultured bacterium. RNAcentral's name for it is "partial 16S ribosomal RNA". It matches the Rfam family "Bacterial small subunit ribosomal RNA", at positions 509 to 807 of the family's 1533-position model. The record is from RNAcentral.
CAGUCGCCGCGGGAAUACGUAGGUGGCAAGCGUUGUCCGGAAUUAUUGGGCGUAAAGGGCUCGCAGGCGGUUUCUUAAGUCUGAUGUGAAAGCCCCCGGCUCAACCGGGGAGGGUCAUUGGAAACUGGGAAACUUGAGUGCAGAAGAGGAGAGUGGAAUUCCACGUGUAGCGGUGAAAUGCGAAGAGAUGUGGAGGAACACCAGUGGCGAAGGCGACUCUCUGGUCUGUAACUGACGCUGAGGAGCGAAAGCGUGGGGAGCGAACAGGAUUAGAUACCCCCGUAGUCCCUGUCUCUUAUAC